AGUGAACGCUGGCGGUAGGCCUAACACAUGCAAGUCGAACGGCAGCACAGUAAGAGCUUGCUCUUACGGGUGGCGAGUGGCGGACGGGUGAGGAAUACAUCGGAAUCUACUUUUUCGUGGGGGAUAACGUAGGGAAACUUACGCUAAUACCGCAUACGACCUACGGGCGAAAGCAGGGGAUCUUCGGACCUUGCGCGAUUGAAUGAGCCGAUGUCGGAUUAGCUAGUUGGCGGGGUAAAGGCCCACCAAGGCGACGAUCCGUAGCUGGUCUGAGAGGAUGAUCAGCCACACUGGAACUGAGACACGGUCCAGACUCCGACGGGAGGCAGCAGUGGGGAAUAUUGGACAAUGGGCGCAAGCCUGAUCCAGCCAUACCGCGUGGGUGAAGAAGGCCUUCGGGUUGUAAAGCCCUUUUGUUGGGAAAGAAAAGCAGCAGGUUAAUACCCCGCUGUUCUGACGGUACCCAAAGAAUAAGCACCGGCUAACUUCGUG
This 492-nucleotide ribosomal RNA is filed under the name uncultured bacterium. Its description in RNAcentral is "partial 16S ribosomal RNA". It matches the Rfam family "Bacterial small subunit ribosomal RNA", at positions 29 to 507 of the family's 1533-position model. The record is from RNAcentral.